This 427-nucleotide ribosomal RNA is filed under the name uncultured bacterium. RNAcentral describes it as "partial 16S ribosomal RNA". It matches the Rfam family "Bacterial small subunit ribosomal RNA", at positions 355 to 774 of the family's 1533-position model. The record is from RNAcentral.
UGGGGAAUAUUGGACAAUGGGGGCAACCCUGAUCCAGCCAUGCCGCGUGUGUGAAGAAGGCCUUUUGGUUGUAAAGCACUUUAAGCAGUGAAGAAGACUCCAUGGUUAAUACCCAUGGACGAUGACAUUAGCUGCAGAAUAAGCACCGGCUAACUCUGUGCCAGCAGCCGCGGUAAUACAGAGGGUGCAAGCGUUAAUCGGAAUUACUGGGCGUAAAGCGAGCGUAGGUGGCUUGAUAAGUCAGAUGUGAAAGCCCCGGGCUUAAACUGGGAACGGCAUCUGAUACUGUUAGGCUAGAGUAGGUGAGAGGAAGGUAGAAUUCCAGGUGUAGCGGUGAAAUGCGUAGAGAUCUGGAGGAAUACCGAUGGCGAAGGCAGCCUUCUGGCAUCAUACUGACACUGAGGUUCGAAAGCGUGGGUAGCAAACA